RNAcentral lists this ribosomal RNA (1110 nucleotides) under uncultured Omnitrophica bacterium. RNAcentral describes it as "bacterial SSU rRNA". It matches the Rfam family "Bacterial small subunit ribosomal RNA", at positions 83 to 1179 of the family's 1533-position model. Lineage: Bacteria; Pseudomonadati; Candidatus Omnitrophota. The record is from RNAcentral.
GAAAUCUUGAUAGCGGCAGACUGGUGAGGAACACGUGAGUAAUUUACCUCUAAGUCGGGAAUAGCCUUACGAAAGUGAGGGUAAUACCCGAUGUGUUCAUCCUGGCACAAGCCGGGAUGAGUAAAGAUAGCCGCAAGGUUAUUGUUUAGAGCUGAGCUCGCGUUUUAUCAGCUAGUUGGUAGGGUAAUGGCCUACCAAGGCUAAGACGGAUAGGUGGCCUGAGAGGGUGGUCACCCACACGGGGACUGAGACACUGCCCCGACUCCUACGGGAGGCUGCAGUCGAGGAUCUUUAGCAAUGGGCGAAAGCCUGACUAUGCGACGCCGCGUGAGGGAUGAAGGAUUUCGGUUCGUAAACCUCUUUCGAUGGGAAAGAAACCUUUCAUGGAAACAUGAAAGCUGACGGUACCCAGAGAAGAAGCCACGGCCAACUCCGUGCCAGCAGCCGCGGUAAUACGGGGGUGGCGAGCGUUACUCGGAUUUAUUGGGUGUAAAGGGCAGGUAAGUGUUCCGUUAAGUUAGAAGUGAAAUCCUUUGGCUCAACCAAAGAACUGCUUCUAAAACUGGCGGGAUUGAGGCUGAAAGAGGAGAGUGGAAUUCCCGGUGUAAGGGUGAAAUCUGUAGAUAUCGGGAGGAACACCAGUGGCGAAAGCGACUCUCUGGUUCAGUCCUGACACUGAGCUGCGAAAGCUAGGGGAGCAAACAGGAUUAGAUACCCUGGUAGUCCUAGCCGUAAACUAUGAGCACUAGGUGUUGGGGAGUAAUCUUCAGCGCCGCAAGAUAACUCGUUAAGUGCUCCACCUGGGGACUACGGCCGCAAGGCUAAAACUCAAAGGAAUUGACGGGGGCUUACACAAGCGGUGGAGCAUGUGGUUCAAUUCGACGCAACGCGAAGAACCUUACCUGGGUUUGACAUCCCGAGAAUCCCUUGGAAACAGGGGAGUGCCUCUUCCGAGGAGCUCGGUGACAGGUGCUGCAUGGCUGUCGUCAGCUCGUGUCGUGAGAUGUUGGGUUAAGUCCCGCAACGAGCGCAACCCUCGCCUUUAGUUGCCAGCAUUGAGUUGGGCACUCUAAAGGGACUGCCGGUGUUAAACCGGGAGGAAGGUGAGGA